This 70-nucleotide transfer RNA is filed under the name Myrmecobius fasciatus (numbat). RNAcentral describes it as "tRNA-Ser". It matches the Rfam family "tRNA". From Rfam's summary of the family: Transfer RNA (tRNA) molecules are approximately 80 nucleotides in length. Their secondary structure includes four short double-helical elements and three loops (D, anti-codon, and T loops). Lineage: Eukaryota; Metazoa; Chordata; Mammalia; Dasyuromorphia; Myrmecobiidae. The record is from RNAcentral.
GAGAAAGUCAUAAUGGCUAUGGGGUUGACUUGAAAUCAAUUUUUUGGGGGUUCGAUUCCUUCCUUUCUCG